UAGAGUUUGAUCAUGGCUCAGAUUGAACGUUGGCGGCAGGCCUUAGACAUGCAAGUCGAACGGUAACAGCAGAGCUUGCUCUGGCUGACGAGUGGCGGACGGGUGAGUAACGCGUAGGAAUCUACCCAGUAGCGGGGGAUAGCCCGGGGAAACCCGGAAUAAUACCGCAUACGCCCCACGGGGGAAAGAGGGCCUCCUCUUGAAAGCUCUCACUAUUGGAGGAGCCUGCGUUGGAUUAGCUAGUUGGUGGGGUAAAGGCCUACCAAGGCGACGAUCCAUAGCUGGUCUGAGAGGACGAUCAGCCACACUGGAACUGAGACACGGUCCAGACUCCUACGGGAGGCAGCAGUCAGGAAUAUUGUGCAAUGGGGGAAACCCUGACACAGCCAUGCCGCGUGUGUGUAGAAGGCCUUAGGGUUGUAAAGCACUUUCAGUAGGGAGGAACUAGCAGCGUUAAUACCGCUGUGAGAUGACGUUACCUACAGAAGAAGAUCCGGCUAACUCCGUGCCAGCAGCCGCGGUAAUACGGAGGGAUCGAACGUUAAUCGGAAUUACUGGGCGUAAAGCGCGCGUAGGUGGUUUGUUAAGUGGGAUGUGAAAGCCCCGGGCUCAACCUGGGAACUGCAUUCCAAACUGACAAACUAGAGUACUGUAGAGGGGGGUAGAAUUUCA
This 672-nucleotide ribosomal RNA is filed under the name uncultured Vibrionaceae bacterium. RNAcentral's name for it is "bacterial SSU rRNA". It matches the Rfam family "Bacterial small subunit ribosomal RNA", at positions 1 to 671 of the family's 1533-position model. The record is from RNAcentral. Lineage: Bacteria; Pseudomonadati; Pseudomonadota; Gammaproteobacteria; Vibrionales; Vibrionaceae.